This is a non-coding RNA of Cadophora sp. M221, 67 nucleotides long. NCBI's taxonomy places the organism in Eukaryota, Fungi, Ascomycota, Leotiomycetes, Helotiales, Ploettnerulaceae. The record is from the annotation of a GenBank genome assembly.
GUAGUAUAGUGGUUAGUAUUUUAGUUAUACACUUAACUAAAGACUUAGGUUCGAUUCCUAAUAAUCU